Molecule: long non-coding RNA, 608 nt
Filed under: Eutrema salsugineum
Lineage: Eukaryota; Viridiplantae; Streptophyta; Magnoliopsida; Brassicales; Brassicaceae
Description: long non-coding RNA (ESAL_LNC001275)
Source: RNAcentral
UAGAGUUUGACAAAACUGAGAAAAGGUCUUAUCUUCUUCUUCAUCUGAUCGUGGCGAUCGCCAUGGAAAUAUCUCUUCUCCGUUCGGCGGGGACGCAAGCAUUUCUCUCGUCAUUCUUGAAGCCAAUUCCACUGCACCGAAUGUGAUUGUGAGACAGAGGCGAAGAAAGUACCGUGUUGUGGAAGCAAUAUACGAUUCGAUGUUCUUUGCAAAGCGUGAAAUGAGGCAAUAAAUUUUGAUUUCGAGAUCACACAGUUAUUACAUUCAUGAGUUCAUCUACCGAACAGUUUAUUAUGUUUAUAGAAUGCUCUGUGUUUGGUUUAGUGGAUUUAAUUAGCCUUCUCUCUCUGCUGCGUGGUUAAAUGCAGGGUUUUGAUAGUGGUUAAUUUGAAAGAUCCUAAUUCGCCAAGGUUUGUGUUAUGUAAUGGUGAGGCCGGUUCCGUCAAAGCCAACCGACUUGCAAGUCCUUGUUUGUUUGACUUGAUGAGCAUUAGGGCUGGGCUUGGUGCCAUUCACCUCCAGUUUGUACUCUUACCGCAAAAUCUCCCAAACUUUAUUAUAUGGAAGGUGCUUAUGAAACUGCAAUCCCAAACUAAUAAUUUCAUGUC